GCUGGGCAUGGUGGCGCGUGCCUGUAGUCCCAGCUACUUGGGAGGCUGAGGCAGGGGAAUCGCUUGAACCGGGGAGGUGGAGGUUGCAGUAAGCCAAGAUUGCGCCACUGCACUCCAGCCUGGUGACAGAGUGAGAUUCUGUCUCAA
This 147-nucleotide non-coding RNA is filed under the name Homo sapiens (human). The record is from Rfam by way of RNAcentral. Lineage: Eukaryota; Metazoa; Chordata; Mammalia; Primates; Hominidae.